GGCUGUGUAGUAUUUCGGCCCUGGCUUCUGCGGACACCGUCUUCCCGCUUGUCCCAGGUUU
Molecule: transfer RNA, 61 nt
Filed under: Phyllodiaptomus tunguidus
Lineage: Eukaryota; Metazoa; Arthropoda; Copepoda; Calanoida; Diaptomidae
Description: tRNA-Thr
Source: RNAcentral